Molecule: long non-coding RNA, 850 nt
Filed under: Callithrix jacchus (white-tufted-ear marmoset)
Lineage: Eukaryota; Metazoa; Chordata; Mammalia; Primates; Cebidae
Description: lncRNA (ENSCJAG00000073732.1)
Source: RNAcentral
UUUCCAUGAGUAGUCAGUUGUAGUAUUUCAGGAUUUUAUGAGAUAAUUUGUUUACUUUAAGUAGAAAUUUCUCAUGAUUUUAGAAACUUGGAUCUACAUCCAAUAUGCCUGUAUUUCUGGCCAGUGAAUAUACAUAUUUCUGACCAAUUAAUGUAUUAUAUAAUCACCAAGCUGCUACUGGGAUCUGGAUCUUUCCAGGUUAUUAUUAUUUUUUGAUCUAUGUUACAUCUACCAGAUAUUAUUUCUCCAAUUGCAGAAGCAGAAAUACCAGAGAAACCCCAAGUGCAGGCACAGUGUUAAUUUGAACAUGUUUUGUCAUUUAUUUCAUCAUCAAUGCGUUUCAUAAUGAGACUCAACAAUUGUUUGUGUUUGACAUCGCAGAUGAAAUUGAAAUUUGAAGUCUAGAAGGUUUCAAAUACUUUAAUUCACGUAUAAGGAUGCUGAAGCCCAGGAAAGUGAAGUCAACAUCUUUCAGCAUCCCAGGGAAUCUAAAGUGUCAUUUCCUCUCUGGAAGAAAGGAAGCACAAAACAUGCUGGGUAUGUACUCUAAAUUUUCACUCAGUGUCAGUUCUAACUAUAAAUUUCUCCCAAGUCCUGUAUCUCUCUCAUUCUUUUUCCCCAACCCUCUCCAAAUCUUACAUCAAUACCUUUCUUUUAAAGUUAGGAUGCAGGAUUUUUACAGGAUGACACAUAUUAAAUUAAAAUAAAGCUGUGACUGUAAAACAAAUUACCUUCUAUCCACCCCCAAUUCCUUUAAUCUAUUGCUUUCCACUGGAUUAUGUUCUGUAAGUGAUUUUGUUGUAAUGGUUAGUUUUGUUUUCAGGAAAAUCACAUUUUGCAAAUAAUGAGA